UGAUCUCUUAUCUUUAUGUCAUUCUUCUGGCCGUGAGAUUAAUGAGGAAGAGAAUUCAAGGUGAAGACAAUUCUUCCAAACAUUGAUGUGAAAAUGCAGGCGUCAUCUUGGGUCCGUUUCAUCUCUGUAGGAUGGAGCAGGCCAGAAGAAUCUGAACACGUCUCAUGCAACCAAGGCCUGUCACUCAAAUAAAAGGCUUCAGGCAAAUAGAAGGUGUCAUCGAGAUGAGUAAGAGUCUGACAGCACUGGAAAUCUGAUGGCUUAAUAACUUUCAGGAAAGUCCUUCAUAUGUUUUUCUGCUGUACUUCUUCAAAUUAUUAAUUUUAAAUAUCAUCCUACACCAAAAGCAGAACAAAAGUUUAAUAACAGCAUCUCAAAAAAUAACAAAAACUUUAUUAUAAUUAAUAUCAAAGUACAUCCACUUUAUUUAUACUCUGAUUAUUCACAUUCAAGUGUGACCUACUUCAGAAAUAACUAACAGUCAUUCAAAUUUGAUCAUCUUAUUGAUCUUAACCAACACUAUCUGUCUUGGGUCCGACUUUUUAACUCAAAGCAUUUAUGUGACCCUGUCUGUGAAAUUCAGCCUUUACGAUGAGAUAAAUGAGC
Molecule: long non-coding RNA, 606 nt
Organism: Misgurnus anguillicaudatus (oriental weatherfish)
Lineage: Eukaryota; Metazoa; Chordata; Actinopteri; Cypriniformes; Cobitidae
Source: RefSeq, a predicted model, not a curated record